UCUCCUGUAGCUGCAGUGGCAGAGCGUCCAACUGGUGUGCGGAAGGUUAUAGGUUCGACUCCUGUUGGGAGAA
RNAcentral lists this transfer RNA (73 nucleotides) under Desmophyllum pertusum. RNAcentral's name for it is "Lophelia pertusa tRNA". It matches the Rfam family "tRNA". Rfam says of the family: Transfer RNA (tRNA) molecules are approximately 80 nucleotides in length. Their secondary structure includes four short double-helical elements and three loops (D, anti-codon, and T loops). Lineage: Eukaryota; Metazoa; Cnidaria; Anthozoa; Scleractinia; Caryophylliidae. The record is from Rfam by way of RNAcentral.